RNAcentral lists this long non-coding RNA (202 nucleotides) under Phasianus colchicus (ring-necked pheasant). RNAcentral describes it as "lncRNA (ENSPCLG00000017045.1)". Lineage: Eukaryota; Metazoa; Chordata; Aves; Galliformes; Phasianidae. The record is from RNAcentral.
AUCAAAAUAGGGUUGCUGAUUCAAUUGCUGUGGCAGUAAGAGUGUGAAAGAUCUUGCUUUUACUGUCUGGAGGCUGAUUUACCAUAGAGGAAACCUAUAUCAUCAAUUGCUAACUGGGGAUUAUAAGAAGAGCUGCAAACAACUAGUGGAAGAAAAAAAGAAUCAAAUACACCAUAUAGGUGGAAAGAAAAAAGACAAAUAA